This 1371-nucleotide ribosomal RNA is filed under the name uncultured bacterium. Its description in RNAcentral is "bacterial SSU rRNA". It matches the Rfam family "Bacterial small subunit ribosomal RNA", at positions 28 to 1381 of the family's 1533-position model. The record is from RNAcentral.
GAUGAACGCUGGCGGCGUGCCUAAUACAUGCAAGUCGAGCGAACAGAUAAGGAGCUUGCUCCUUUGACGUUAGCGGCGGACGGGUGAGUAACACGUGGAUAACCUACCUAUAAGACUGGGAUAACUUCGGGAAACCGGAGCUAAUACCGGAUAACAUAUUGAACCGCAUGGUUCAAUAGUGAAAGGCGGCUUUGCUGUCACUUAUAGAUGGAUCCGCGCCGUAUUAGCUAGUUGGUAAGGUAACGGCUUACCAAGGCAACGAUACGUAGCCGACCUGAGAGGGUGAUCGGCCACACUGGAACUGAGACACGGUCCAGACUCCUACGGGAGGCAGCAGUAGGGAAUCUUCCGCAAUGGGCGAAAGCCUGACGGAGCAACGCCGCGUGAGUGAUGAAGGUCUUCGGAUCGUAAAACUCUGUUAUCAGGGAAGAACAAAUGUGUAAGUAACUGUGCACAUCUUGACGGUACCUGAUCAGAAAGCCACGGCUAACUACGUGCCAGCAGCCGCGGUAAUACGUAGGUGGCAAGCGUUAUCCGGAAUUAUUGGGCGUAAAGCGCGCGUAGGCGGUUUUUUAAGUCUGAUGUGAAAGCCCACGGCUCAACCGUGGAGGGUCAUUGGAAACUGGAAAACUUGAGUGCAGAAGAGGAAAGUGGAAUUCCAUGUGUAGCGGUGAAAUGCGCAGAGAUAUGGAGGAACACCAGUGGCGAAGGCGACUUUCUGGUCUGUAACUGACGCUGAUGUGCGAAAGCGUGGGGAUCAAACAGGAUUAGAUACCCUGGUAGUCCACGCCGUAAACGAUGAGUGCUAAGUGUUAGGGGGUUUCCGCCCCUUAGUGCUGCAGCUAACGCAUUAAGCACUCCGCCUGGGAGUACGACCGCAAGGUUGAAACUCAAAGGAAUUGACGGGGACCCGCACAAGCGGUGGAGCAUGUGGUUUAAUUCGAAGCAACGCGAAGAACCUUACCAAAUCUUGACAUCCUUUGACCACUCUAGAGAUAGAGUUUUCCCCUUCGGAGGACAAAGUGACAGGUGGUGCAUGGUUGUCGUCAGCUCGUGUCCUGAGAUGUUGGGUUAAGUCCCGCAACGAGCGCAACCCUUAAGCUUAGUUGCCAUCAUUAAGUUGGGCACUCUAAGUUGACUGCCGGUGACAAACCGGAGGAAGGUGGGGAUGACGUCAAAUCAUCAUGCCCCUUAUGAUUUGGGCUACACACGUGCUACAAUGGACAAUACAAAGGGCAGCUAAACCGCGAGGUCAAGCAAAUCCCAUAAAGUUGUUCUCAGUUCGGAUUGUAGUCUGCAACUCGACUACAUGAAGCUGGAAUCGCUAGUAAUCGUAGAUCAGCAUGCUACGGUGAAUACGUUCCCGGGUCU